CAGCCGCCGCGGUAAAACGUAGGGUGCGAGCGUUAAUCGGAAUUACUGGGCGUAAAGCGGGCACAGACGGUUACUUAAGCAGGAUGUGAAAUCCCCGGGCUCAACCUGGGAACUGCGUUCUGAACUGGGUGACUAGAGUGUGUCAGAGGGAGGUAGAAUUCCACGUGUAGCAGUGAAAUGCGUAGAGAUGUGGAGGAAUACCGAUGGCGAAGGCAGCCUCCUGGGAUAACACUGACGUUCAUGCCCGAAAGCGUGGGUAGCAAACAGGAUUAGAUACCCGUGUAGUCCCUGUCUCUUAUAC
This 301-nucleotide ribosomal RNA is filed under the name uncultured bacterium. RNAcentral's name for it is "partial 16S ribosomal RNA". It matches the Rfam family "Bacterial small subunit ribosomal RNA", at positions 509 to 807 of the family's 1533-position model. The record is from RNAcentral.